This 603-nucleotide ribosomal RNA is filed under the name Trichoderma helicum. RNAcentral describes it as "eukaryotic LSU rRNA". The stretch from base 205 to 358 matches the Rfam family "5.8S ribosomal RNA". The record is from RNAcentral. Lineage: Eukaryota; Fungi; Ascomycota; Sordariomycetes; Hypocreales; Hypocreaceae.
GUUUGACAACUCCCAAACCCAAUAGUGAGACGUUACCAAACUGUUGCCUCGGCGGGAUCUCUGCCCCGGGUGCGUCGCAGCCCCGGACCAAGGCGCCCGCCGGAGGACCAACCAAAACUCUUUUUUGUAUACCCCCUCGCGGGUUUUUUUUACUAUCUGAGCCUUUCUCGGCGCCCCUUCGUGGGCGUUUCGAAAAUGAAUCAAAACUUUCAACAACGGAUCUCUUGGUUCUGGCAUCGAUGAAGAACGCAGCGAAAUGCGAUAAGUAAUGUGAAUUGCAGAAUUCAGUGAAUCAUCGAAUCUUUGAACGCACAUUGCGCCCGCCAGUAUUCUGGCGGGCAUGCCUGUCCGAGCGUCAUUUCAACCCUCGAACCCCUCCGGGGGGUCGGCGUUGGGGAUCGGCUCCCUCUAAACCGGGUGCCGUCUCCGAAAUACAGUGGCGGUCUCGCCGCAGCCUCUCUUGCGCAGUAGUUUGCACACUCGCAUCGGGAGCGCGGCGCGUCCACGUCCGUAAAACAACCCAAACUUCUGAAAUGUUGACCUCGGAUCAGGUAGGAAUACCCGCUGAACUUAAGCAUAUCAAUAAGCGGAGGGAAAAAAACC